Molecule: long non-coding RNA, 410 nt
Filed under: Homo sapiens (human)
Lineage: Eukaryota; Metazoa; Chordata; Mammalia; Primates; Hominidae
Description: HSALNT0111824
Source: RNAcentral
AUCAGAUUUAUUUGGAGAAAACAGAAAUCCCACAACCCAAAGGAUGGGAUUUUACAUCAAGACAUCUCCCAGCUCUAUAAAUGGACUGCAGUACAGCUGACCUUGGACAGGCUUAUUUGGGCCUAACUGGGUUCUAAGCUUUCUGCUGGGUUCAGCUCUUUGUACUUCAGGCAACAACACCUGAGAGGAUUUUUCUGGCAGGCGAAAAAAUGUUUGCAAUGACUUUGAUGAUACGGUGACUGAGGUGUAUUUAUCCUUAGGUGCAUAAGCAAUGGCACACAACCAAAGACUGGCUGCUACCUUCACAUUCCUUCUAAAGGGGCUAAAAGGAAGAAGUAUGGAAAAAUGUAUCCACUCAAGUAGAAAUUUUAUAUUGAGUGUGCAGUUUUGAUUUUGAAUGUCUGAUUUUG